ACCCCAUCUCAGGUAUAUCUUUAUAGUAGUAUGAAAAUGGAGUUAUACAGCAUCCUAAUUCUGCCACAAGUCAUUGGAAGACAUUCAGAAGGUGAAAGAAGAUCAUUACUCAGUAGGACCUCUUCAAAGGCCAGGGUAAUACAAGGCAGAUGUUCUUCCAACUCAGACCAGAACCUUCUAGUACCUCAAACCACCUGGGCCUGGUGAUAUGAAAG
Long non-coding RNA from Homo sapiens (human), 215 nucleotides. RefSeq lists it as uncharacterized. The transcript is spliced from 3 exons. The record is from RefSeq and is a predicted model, not a curated record. Lineage: Eukaryota; Metazoa; Chordata; Mammalia; Primates; Hominidae.